RNAcentral lists this non-coding RNA (29 nucleotides) under Mus musculus (house mouse). The record is from RNAcentral. Lineage: Eukaryota; Metazoa; Chordata; Mammalia; Rodentia; Muridae.
CNCUACUGUUAGUCCAUCUACUGGGGUGU